RNAcentral lists this non-coding RNA (27 nucleotides) under Bombyx mori (domestic silkworm). Lineage: Eukaryota; Metazoa; Arthropoda; Insecta; Lepidoptera; Bombycidae. The record is from RNAcentral.
UUGCAUGUGAACGUAAUAAAUAAAUCC